CCUACGGGUGGCAGCAGUGAGGAAUAUUGGUCAAUGGGCGCGAGCCUGAACCAGCCAAGUAGCGUGAAGGAUGACUGCCCUACGGGUUGUAAACUUCUUUUAUAAAGGAGUAAAGUGAGGCACGUGUGCCUGUUUUGAUGUACUCUAUGAAUAAGGAUCGGCUAACUGCGGGCCAGCAGGCGCGGUAAUAGGGAGGAUUCGAGCGUUAUCCGGAUUUAUUGGGGUUAAAGGGAGCGUAGUUGGGUUGUCAAGUCAGGUGUGAAAGUUGGCGGCUCAAACGUCAAAUUGCAAUUGAUACUGGCGGUCUUGAGUACAGUAGAGGUAGGCGGAAUUCGUGGUGUAGCGGUGAAAUGCUUAGAUAUCACGCAGAACUCCGAUUGCGAAGGCAGCUUACUGCACUGCAACUGACAUUGAUGCACGAAAGUGUGGGUAUCAAACAGGAUUAGAUACCCUAGUAGUC
RNAcentral lists this ribosomal RNA (460 nucleotides) under uncultured bacterium. RNAcentral describes it as "partial 16S ribosomal RNA". It matches the Rfam family "Bacterial small subunit ribosomal RNA", at positions 338 to 795 of the family's 1533-position model. The record is from RNAcentral.